Molecule: long non-coding RNA, 715 nt
Filed under: Homo sapiens (human)
Lineage: Eukaryota; Metazoa; Chordata; Mammalia; Primates; Hominidae
Description: non-protein coding lnc-FNDC1-2:1
Source: RNAcentral
CCUAUCAAAAGUUACGGUGAAGUCAGGGUGGGUGGCGAGUCCCUGCAAGGUCGCCCCUCUGUGCCAACACAGCCUGAUGGCUUCUUGUUUCAGGAAACAUCCAGAAUUACAACUGGCCAUUGAGUUAUUACAUAUCAAUUGAACAAGGUAGUUUUAAAAUGAAAGAAAAUCUUGCAACAUGAAUAAAGAGAUAGACUCUUUGAAUCUGGCAUACAGCUUUCCCUUCCUUCUUCCUGCUUUCCUGGACACACCGUGGACAGACCCAUUUCCCUCUGGAUUCAUGGUAAGGUCCCGAGUGCUUCUGAUGCAGCUGCUGAGCAGACCCCGCUCAUCUCAGGAGUCCCGAGGACACUCGCUUCCCUGCAGCCCGUCCGCCCUCCAUAAGCCUGGGGGCAUCUGCCCUGCAGCACUGGGGAGGAGCCACCUCCUUGUCUGGGAACAGCCAAGCCUCCGUGACAGCUGAGGAUUCUUGUGGAUUGUUCUUUCUGUAACUGGACAGCACAUCCGGAAUUCCUUGCCAUAGCUCUGUGCCUUGCUGGGGUCUGAGGUUCACAGGUCAGAUGCUGCUGUCUGGUCCUUCCCAAUUGCGGCGUGAAUUCCUUCAUCCUCACCAGUAGCUUCUUGCUCUCCCCAAGGGAGGCACGUGCUUAGUAGGGAGAGAGGCCUACCAAGGUUGCCAUCUGCCAUGGGCUCAAUUGUGUCCCCAACCCCCCUG